GGACAGAGGAGGACAACUCGCUGCUCCGACAGGGGGGAGGAGGGGGAGGAGGGGGAGGGGGAGGAGGCGGUAUAGGGUACGACCCAUUGGACACUUGAAAGACAAAGAAGAAUGGAAACAAGUAUCUCAUUAUUAAUUAUCUAGAUCAGCUUUGUGAAUGUGGAGUUGAAACUCACCUGUGCCUUGCAUUGGUGGUGGAGGAGGGGGUGGUGGUGGUGCUGGCAUCCCGGGAGUGCCACUCAUGCCUGGUCCCGUGCUGUGAUAGGCUACCGUCUCCGGACUGUUGAAAUCAAUCAGUGAACACUGCCCCAUGCCCAGGUACAUGAUGUGUAGCCUGAAGAACAGAAGAACAGCCUGGACUCAACCUGAAGAAUGAGAGUUCAUUCUUUGCCCUCUUUAAGCUCUAUUUAUGAUUUUGUUAAGUUUUGGUCUCCACCAGCUCCUGAGGGUACCAUCCGUCUCUUCAGCUGCAGUGACAUCCCUCACCUGGGGGACAGGUUAGGGCAGGGCGGAGGUGAGGGGGAAGUGGAGUCAGCCACCCCUCCAUCCCCCUCUCCUCUCUGGGGUUGAGGAGCCCCAAGUCCUCCAGCCUGCUGGACUUCUUGAGCCUGGCGCUCCAGACGGCUCUGGCGUCGUAUUGUCUGAUCCUUCUCCCGAACCAUCCGCCUCAAGCACUGUAACUACCAUGACCUGGAUGACUGAGAGCCUACACCUACAGAAUAACUUCUAGUUCGCAUCAUCAAACAAAAUAUUUUCUGUCUCCAUGGUGAUCAAAUUUUUGCAUUGGUUCUGACCCGGAUGUGGUCCAGCUCCUUGUUGGUUUGCAUCAGCUGUUUCUCCAGUUCGACAAUCUUCAGCAUUGCUUCAUUCUCCACAUCCAACAGGCGCUCAGACAUCUGUGGACCGAGACAGAGACAGAAGAUGGUCUCUCAUCUGAGAACUGAGAGAGAGAGAUCUUAAUAUGACACGUCUACCUGUCCGCCCAUUUGUCUCACCCUGGCCAGGCUUUCUUCCAACUCCUCAACUCGUUCCAGAGCAGCAGUUUUGGUCUCGGCAUCCUCCAGCAAUGUCCCCACAUCAAACACAUUGUCAAGGUGUUCAUCCAGGUUGAGUUUGGUGAAGUCAUACUGCAGGUGGACUCUGAAGUUCAUGUCUUCAACUGAGUGAACCACGAUGUUGAUGAACUGCAUGCAGGCCACC
Molecule: long non-coding RNA, 1200 nt
Organism: Scatophagus argus
Lineage: Eukaryota; Metazoa; Chordata; Actinopteri; Scatophagidae
Exons: 6
Source: RefSeq, a predicted model, not a curated record